GACCACGUAGCUCAGUUGGCAGAGCAUUGGGCUAGUAUUCCAAAGGUCAUAGGUUCGAAUCCCAUCGUGGCCA
This 73-nucleotide transfer RNA is filed under the name Paramuricea clavata. It matches the Rfam family "tRNA". From Rfam's summary of the family: Transfer RNA (tRNA) molecules are approximately 80 nucleotides in length. Their secondary structure includes four short double-helical elements and three loops (D, anti-codon, and T loops). Further hydrogen bonds mediate the characteristic L-shaped molecular structure. tRNAs have two regions of fundamental functional importance: the anti-codon, which is responsible for specific mRNA codon recognition, and the 3' end, to which the tRNAs corresponding amino acid is attached (by aminoacyl-tRNA synthetases). tRNAs cope with the degeneracy of the genetic code in two manners: having more than one tRNA (with a specific anti-codon) for a particular amino acid; and 'wobble' base-pairing, i.e. permitting non-standard base-pairing at the 3rd anti-codon position. The record is from Rfam by way of RNAcentral. Lineage: Eukaryota; Metazoa; Cnidaria; Anthozoa; Malacalcyonacea; Plexauridae.